This 475-nucleotide ribosomal RNA is filed under the name uncultured bacterium. Its description in RNAcentral is "bacterial SSU rRNA". It matches the Rfam family "Bacterial small subunit ribosomal RNA", at positions 30 to 521 of the family's 1533-position model. The record is from RNAcentral.
AUUGAACGCUGGCGGCAUGCCUUACACAUGCAAGUCGAACGGCAGCACGGGAGCAAUCCUGGUGGCGAGUGGCGAACGGGUGAGUAAUAUAUCGGAACGUGCCCGGUCGUGGGGGAUAACGUAGCGAAAGCUACGCUAAUACCGCAUACGAUCUACGGAUGAAAGCGGGGGAUCGCAAGACCUCGCGCGAUUGGAGCGGCCGAUAUCAGAUUAGGUAGUUGGUGAGGUAAAGGCUCACCAAGCCGACGAUCUGUAGCUGGUCUGAGAGGACGAUCAGCCACACUGGGACUGAGACACGGCCCAGACUCCUAAGGGAGGCAGCAGUGGGGAAUAUUGGACAAAUGGGCGAAAGACCUGAUCCAGCAAUGCCGCGUGAGUGAUGAAGGCCUUAGGGUUGUAAAGCUCUUUACCCGGGAUGAUAAUGACAGUACCGGGAGAAUAAGACUCCGGCUAACUCCGUGCCAGCAGCCGCGGU